GCGGGUGUAGUUCAAUGGUAGAACUUCAGCUUCCCAAGCUGAGAGCGCGGGUUCGAUUCCCGUCACCCGCU
Non-coding RNA from Cellulomonas sp. 73-92, 71 nucleotides. The record is from Rfam. Lineage: Bacteria; Bacillati; Actinomycetota; Actinomycetes; Micrococcales; Cellulomonadaceae.